GGAUACGCUGGCGGCGUUGCUUACACUGCAGUUAAACUACCUUCGGGUUAGUGGCGGACGGGUGAGUAACGCGUGAGAAUCUGCCCUCAGGAGGGGGACAACAGUUGGAAACGACUGCUAAUACCCCAUAUGCCGCGACGGUGAAAUGAAUUUCGCCUGAGCGAUGAGCUCGCGUCUGAUUAGCUAGUUGGUGUAGGUAAUGGCUAACCAAGGCAUCGAUCAGUAGCUGGUCUGAGAGGAUGAUCAGCCACACUGGGACUGAGACACGGCCCACGACUCCUACGGGAGGCAGCAGAUGGGGAAUUUUCCGCAAUGGGCGAAAGCCUGACGGAGCAACGCCGCGUGAGGGAUGAAGGCCUCUGGGCUGUAAACCUCUUUUAUCAAGGAACGAAGAUCUGACGGUACUUGAUGAAUAAAGCCACAGGCUAAUUCCGUGCCAGCAGCCGCGGUAAUACGGGAGUGGCAAGCGUUAUCCAGGAAUUCAUUGC
Molecule: ribosomal RNA, 488 nt
Filed under: uncultured cyanobacterium
Lineage: Bacteria; Bacillati; Cyanobacteriota
Description: bacterial SSU rRNA
Rfam family: Bacterial small subunit ribosomal RNA
Source: RNAcentral